This is a long non-coding RNA of Eptesicus fuscus (big brown bat), 622 nucleotides long. RefSeq lists it as uncharacterized. Lineage: Eukaryota; Metazoa; Chordata; Mammalia; Chiroptera; Vespertilionidae. The record is from RefSeq and is a predicted model, not a curated record. The transcript has 3 exons.
CGAUCGUUGGCUGUAAGGAGGAUGCGGAGAGGCCAAAGGGGCGCAUCCUGCAAAGAGAGGGAACAGGGAUCCCGUUAUACGAGGAAUAAAGCUCAGAGAAGUUAAUUUGCUACGAAGGUCUCAUAAUCACUAAAACAAGGAUCCAGGAUUCAGACCUGAACUAUUUAACUCUCUAGGCCUCUAACAACCUUGUCUGAAGAAAUGCGUAAGGAAACUCAGGCAAAAGAAAAACAAGGUGGAGACAGGAGUGAGAAAGAAGAGAAGAGAAGAGAAGAGAAGAGAAGAGAAGAGAAGAGAAGAGAAGAGAAGAGAAGAGAAGAGAAGAGAAAGAGUAAAAUACUGAUCAACCUAGAUGUUUGUGAAAUGGGGGUUUUGGAUGCUUGAGAUGCUGAUUAACAGGAGGGAUCAAAGCAUUCAAUGUGAUUGAAAAGCCCCUAAAAAUGUAGCACCUCAACAGUAAACACAAUUGAUUCCUGUGUGUGGGAAACAUGUUGUCAGGGCCUAGAAGUAUCAUUCUCAAAGAGGAGAAAUCUAAUGACCAUUCAAGUCAUUUGGUAACUCAGCAACAUUAUUUUACCCAUUUAUUCUUUCAACAUAAAUAAAUAAUAAAUAAUGAAGCACU